This 498-nucleotide ribosomal RNA is filed under the name uncultured bacterium. RNAcentral describes it as "bacterial SSU rRNA". It matches the Rfam family "Bacterial small subunit ribosomal RNA", at positions 30 to 504 of the family's 1533-position model. The record is from RNAcentral.
CGAACGCUGGCGGCGUGGAUUAGGCAUGCAAGUCGAACGAGAAAGCUCCCUUCGGGGGGUGAGUAAAGUGGCGAACGGGUGAGUAACGCGUGGGAAACCUGCCUUUAAGCGGGGGAUAACAGUUCUAACGAGCUGCUAAUACCGCAUGACGCUAUCGAUCUCAUGUUCGAUAGUUAAAGAUGGCCUCUACAUGUAAGCUGUCGCUUAGAGAUGGUCCCGCGUCCUAUUAGCUUGUUGGUGAGGUAACGGCUCACCAAGGCAACGAUGGGUAGCCGGCCUGAGAGGGUGGUCGGCCACACUGGGACUGAGAUACGGCCCAGACUCCUACGGGAGGCAGCAGUCGAGAAGCUUCGGCAAUGGGGGAAACCCUGACCGAGCGACGUCGCGUGGGUGAUGAAGGUCCUUGGACCGUAAAACCCUGUCAGUUGGGAUGAAAUGCCAUAUGGCCAAUACCCAUGUGGUUUGACAGUACCAUCAGAGGAAGCUCCGGCCAACUCC